This is a long non-coding RNA of Musca domestica (house fly), 1054 nucleotides long. RefSeq lists it as uncharacterized. NCBI's taxonomy places the organism in Eukaryota, Metazoa, Arthropoda, Insecta, Diptera, Muscidae. The transcript has 3 exons. The record is from RefSeq and is a predicted model, not a curated record.
GUCACGACCGCGGCCAAAAAUGGUAAAAACCAAGUACAUAAGAGCACAAAUUUAUUGAUGAGAAUUGAUAGAAAACAUUCCAGUUAGGAAUAAUAUGAAUUUUGGUAGUGAUACGUCAAGUAGUUUUGCCUGUACGAGGGUUCAAAUCUGAUAGUUUUUGGCAAUCGGCAUUUUUCUAUUUUUUUCGGAAAAUUGACACUUUUUUCAUAUGUUCAAAAAUUUGAAUAUUAAAAGUAACGGUUAUAAAAAAAGUGUUUAUUUUAGUUACUUGGGAUGUCAAAAACUUGGCUUCACCUUUGUUUGGGUGUAAAUAGUGAUCAUAUGGUGUUUACAGUUACAAACACCUGUUGUACUUAGUUCAUCUAUUUUGUAAAGCAAAUCUUGAAAUUAGUGGAGUAGAAAAAAAAGGUUAAAAAAGUUUAGUCUACAUUUUUGUUGAUUUUAGUUGUGAAAAUGACCACCUCUUUAAAAAACUGUGACAUAUUUUUGGAAUGGUUAGAAGUAAAGGAUCAAAGUAUGUCAUAUGUUCUGGCAAAACUUAAAGAAUUUAUUGAGGAUCGAAUUGGAAGGAAAAUGACGGGCGAAGAACACAUAAAGGUUAAAAAUAUUUGCUACAAAUUGUCUUCUACGUGGAAAAAAUACUAUCGUAAGAGGGAUAAAGUAGAAAUGGUCUUAAAAGAUUGGUUUCUUAUGGAUACGUUUAAAUUUGAUUCGGAACCUGAUAAGUCUACAUCAAGAGGUCGACCACGCAUUAACUUUGAGGAAAGUUCAUGUAGAACAAAAAGGCGACGUGUAGGUGAACUUGUUGCAUCUACUUCGGCGGACAUCAUAACAACAGCUGCAAAAAGAUUUUCGAAUGUAAAGGAAACGGACAAAAAUUUCGAAACGAAGACGCAACAGAUGAAUUUAUGUUCGUUUCUUCAUUUGUGCCCUUGCGUAUUUUAGAUGAUACAAACGAAAAUGUCUUGUGGCAGAACGACAGGCACUCAUCUUCAAGGCUAUGUAGACCUAUUAAAAUACUUUUUACAAAGGAAAAUUCACAGACUAUAAAUGA